Molecule: ribosomal RNA, 460 nt
Filed under: uncultured bacterium
Lineage: Bacteria
Description: partial 16S ribosomal RNA
Rfam family: Bacterial small subunit ribosomal RNA
Source: RNAcentral
CCUACGGGUGGCAGCAGUGAGGAAUAUUGGUCAAUGGACGAGAGUCUGAACCAGCCAAGUAGCGUGAAGGAUGACUGCCCUAUGGGUUGUAAACUUCUUUUAUAUGGGAAUAAAACAGGGUAUGCAUACCCUCUUGUAUGUACCAUAUGAAUAAGGAUCGGCUAACUCCGUGCCAGCAGCCGCGGUAAUACGGAGGAUCCGAGCGUUAUCCGGAUUUAUUGGGUUUAAAGGGAGCGUAGGUGGAUUGUUAAGUCAGUUGUGAAAGUUUGCGGCUCAACCGUAAAAUUGCAGUUGAAACUGGCAGUCUUGAGUACAGUAGAGGUGGGCGGAAUUCGUGGUGUAGCGGUGAAAUGCAUAGAUAUCACACAGAACACCGAUUGCGAAGGCAUCUCACGAAUCCGCGAUUGACGCUGAUGCACGAAAGCGUGGGUAUCAAACAGGAUUAGAUACCCCGGUAGUC